UUUUAAAAACUAAAAAAUUUGCGUAAACUAUUAAAAAAAUUCAGUGAAAACAUAAAAACACAGAAAACAAGAAACUCAAUUUUCUGAAAAGCGGAAUCAAAAUUCUGAAACCAAAAAGUUAUUAUGCUAGUAGUAUAAUCAUCUCCUCCACAACUGCCAAGCCAAGUCUACUGUUAAAACUGGAACAAGUGUUCCAACUUUUAAAUGAAACAAGCCAUUCAAGUUCGUAAGCUUGUCUUGGUGAGAAGUUUAUUUGAGUUUAUUCAAGGGAUUAAUGAGCCAAUCUCUCAAGAAUAUGUUUUGAAACUUUAUUCCUGAAGAAGCCAAACUUGACAAUCACAAACAAAAGUUUUUUAAGCUUUUGAAUAAUUAGUAUUGGUGUCCUGCGGUUAUAGUGAUAUAAUCCCUCAUUAAUUGUAAUUACAAGAACGGCUUCUGAGGCAAUCAUUGUUAAAUAAAUGAGUAAUUAUGAACAAGUUGUGUUGUGUGUUCAGUACAGAAAAGAAAAGAAAUUAGGAGCACUAGACUUUUUGACUCGGAAAUUAUUGUUUACUGUGCUACUCAAGAAACUUGAUUUGACUUGGGAAGAAGGGUUUUGAGUUUUGAAAAUAAGAAAUAGAGGGCUGGUGAAGUACAUGCUAGUUGAGCUUGACUCAAACAUGAUCAUAUUGAGUUUGAUAAAAUAUCUAUCAAAGUUUUUAACUACUUAAUAUUCUGAUUUAUUACAGCCCUCAACUCCAACCAUAUUAAAACUGUGAUAUCUAUCAAUGCCAGUGCAUCUGACCACUUUUCUGCUUCACCUCUGUUUUUGCCACAAUUGUUGCUAGCGUGCUACUACUAUAUCACUAUGUGACUGUCUCAUGGAAAACUUACAAGGCCUUUAGUAGAUUUUCUUCACGUCCUGUCCUUUGCACCAAGGGAUUUUAACUUCUAGAGCAUACGAGUAAUACUAGCUGGAAGGAGUAUCAAAGAAUUACGGAGGUAAUUGUUGAUCCUGGCCUAUAUCUCGUAUCGAAAGGCAGAAUGUUCACCGGCAACAAAAAACGCACCCUGCCCAAUGCAUACAGAUUUUUCACCGGUUCUCCACCCCUGAUUUUGAGCCGGAAGCUUGUUGAGUUUGCCAUCCUCAGAUGGGACAACCUACUGAGAAAACUCCUAUUAUUUUUCUCCAACAUUAAAUACUCACAAGGAGACUACUUUCAGACGCAUGCUUGCAAUUCCAAAGACUUCUCCAAAACUGUUGUCAACUCCAACUUGCGCUUUACUGUAUAUGAUGAUAAUCCUCGAGACCUAAGCGUAACUGAUUUGAAAAAGAUGUUGAGCAGUGGAGCUGCAUUUGCUGGGAAUUUCCGUGCAAACGAUCCAGUUUUGGACAAGAUUGAUUCUCUUCAUAGGACUGCGGGUAUGAUAUUACCAGGAGGUUGGUGUUUGGGUGGGCGAGGAAGGGGCUGAGAUUUGGGGUGACAUGAGUAUUUUAAGAUCGGGCCAGCAUUUGAGAAACUUGAGAAGCUUCUUUCGAGUUUAAUGCAGAACACUACUUUCCAUUCCAUUCAAACCAAUGUGUUUUUAAAGGGUUGUAAUUUGUUUCCAUUUCUUGUAGCACGUUGAAAAUAUCGGGUAGAUUAUAGAUGUAAGAAACUGUAUGAGAGAGUUCAA
This is a non-coding RNA of Camellia sinensis, 1656 nucleotides long. The record is from RefSeq and is a predicted model, not a curated record. Lineage: Eukaryota; Viridiplantae; Streptophyta; Magnoliopsida; Ericales; Theaceae.